Molecule: ribosomal RNA, 606 nt
Filed under: Triticum aestivum (bread wheat)
Lineage: Eukaryota; Viridiplantae; Streptophyta; Magnoliopsida; Poales; Poaceae
Description: partial small subunit ribosomal RNA
Source: RNAcentral
AUGCAGAACCCUGGCGGCAAUCAUCCUGCUCCAGCCGCAGCAGCGGCGGGCAAGUUCAAGUCCUCUGCGCAGGGUGCGGUAGUGGCCUCGGGCCAUGGCCAUCAGCCAUCCCCAGCCACGCCUGCGGCUGCCAAGUCCAGGUCCUCCGGCCACUGUCAUCACUCCUCCCCGUCCAUGCCUGUGGUGGGCAAGUCCAAGCCCUCAGCGCAUGCUGUGGCACCGGGCCAAGCGUCCACUUCUCACCAACCACACCCCAUCGGCGUUGGUGAUGCAGCUGCAUCGAGCCUUAAGCGCAAGCGUAGCGUCUUCCAGAAAGACCUGCAGCACAUGAUGUAUGGGUUUGGGGACGAUCCAAAUCCACUUCCUGAAACAGUUGCACUUGUGGAGGACAUCGUUGUAGAAUAUAUUACUGACCUCGUCCACAAGGCUGAGAAUGUGGCUUCAAAGAGGGGAAAGCUCUUGACAGAGGAUUUUCUUUACCUUAUCAGAAAGGAUAUGCGGAAAUUGCACCGCUCUACUGAGCUACUCUCCAUGAAUGAAGAGCUCAAGCAAGCAAGGAAAGCUUUUGAUGUGAAUGAAGAAACACUAGUAGUAACUAAUGAGUGA